AUUUACCUGCUUUUACUAUCAGAGGGCACAAAAUGGACGGUUCAUGUAAAAGGGUUCGAUUAGGACAGGUUCUAGACGCGAUUCUCAACACACCAAUGGAAUGCGCUGGGCAGAUUCUGCCAGGUCUGCCGGAUCACCUCGCUAUGGAAUGUCUUGCCCGAGUCCCACUUGGUAGCCUGACCGGCGUGAGCAAGACAUGGCAGAAUAUUAUCUACGAUCCCUACUUCCAAAGUUUCAGGGCCUCUAUCGGCAGAAGCAAGCUUGACUGGGUAUACACAUUAGUGCAGAUGCAGGACAAGUCGUUCAAGUGGCGCGCAUUUGACCCUCUGUCUUCCCAAUGGCACGAUCUGCCUCCAACACCUCACCCGAUGGAUUUUCAGCUUCUAAAUCCAGGUUGCAUUGGGGUCUCCUAUUCCGUGCAGUGUGUCAGCACUAGCUCCAAACUCGUGAUGGUGGCCGCGGUUAAAGCAAAGAAGGAUGGGCAGCCACGGAUGACAGUGGAACCCGCGCUCGAGCACCCUUACAUCUUCGAUACCAGCACGAAUUCCUGGAAGCAGGGCUCCCCUUUCAGCGUGCCGCGCAAGUGGUGCGUCUGCGGGGUCGCUGACGAGAAGGUGUACGUCGCUAGCGGCUCCGGAAAGGAUUGGAGCCAGGAGCUCUCCAAAUCGGCUGAGUUUUAUAAUCUUGAGAACGACAAGUGGGAGAGGUUGCAGAAGUUGUCCACCUCGAAGUUCAGUGGAGAGGCAAUGAAUGCCGUCUUGAACAACAACAAACUGUACUUCGUGAGUGGGCGGGGAGUUUUCUCGAAAGACGGCGUUGUCUACGACCUCGGCACCAAUUCGUGGUUGGAGAUGUCGCCUGGUUUGAAGUGGGGCUGGAGAGGACCCUGCGUGUCAGUGAAUGGGAAAUUCUAUCUUCUGGAGACGCCGGCAGGGAAACUCAAGGUUUACGUCCCAGAGAGGGAUGAGUGGGAUACCAUUAUGUUGGAUUCCAGGCUGGCGAAUUUGGAGGUGUUUGUGGGCACUAAAGGAAAGAUUGUUGCCAUUGAAGCGGCGUCUGGGAAGGAUAAGGAGACGAAUGCGGGGAGCUUGUUGCGAGUCAUUGAUAUUGCCUCCGAGACGCCCCAAAUCUUCGACAUCCCUGUGCAGGAUGGCCAGGUUGUCUCCGUUCAAGUGCUGGCGAUGAUGAACCAGGCAAGUAAGCAAUAAUAUUUCGGAGAUGCAACAGUACCGGUGAAUUAUUGUCAUUUUUCCCAUCAUCGACAAGACGACUGCUACAGGAAGGACCCUCAAGAAUCGAUAAGACUGCGCACGGACAUUCUAGUCAGCAGCAGUCGUACUUGUGCCGCGAAGGUCCAUGAACUUUUGCAUCUUUUGGAAGAGUAUCAGCAUUGCGGACUCUAGAGAAUGUGAAUACGAUAGGAUUGAUGCGAUGGUGUUGAAAACAACCUGGGGAGAUGGCUGCUUCUUCGAUUUUUGCUUAAGUUGAAGUGACACUUGGCGCUCUGGUGUUCGAUAUCGUUGCAGCAACUCUUUCCUAUUAUUGAUUCUCAGUGUCACUUUCUCACUUCUGCUGAGACUGGGAUUUCUCAAGCAGGCAUGCAACUGCAUUAAGGUUUUGUUGUGAAACAUCUGGACUGAGAUUCAGGAUUCUUCAUUUAGGGAUCCGAUGAUCAGAGCCGCUGAAAUUGUUGAACACUAACACACUCAAUUUCGUUCAUGGCCAGAAAAGGAGGUGAAAAAGAAGUAUGCUAUUUGCGCAGCUUUUUGUAGAAUAGUGAAACGCAUUAGCCUUUGUCCAUUUGCUCACGUGGGUACAUAAGCACACUCUCUGUGAACAAGAGUUAUGGCCCUUUCACGAAUUGAAACGAUGCAGCGGUAAUGAUUUUCGCCAUGGCACCGACACACAUGCGCCCGCUCAAUCCUCGCAUCCAUGGACAUUCUCAAAUUUCAGGCCACAUCAAGGCAGUUAGUCAUCUUCUGAUUUACAAGAAUACAUUUCCUCACCAGCUUUGGUGUGGAAUUGAAUUCAACCCAAGCAAUUCAAUUCAACCCAAGCAAUUGAAUUCACAGCACUUGAGAAUAGUCUGUUUGCAAGGAAUUUAUUUUUCAUCACAUUAGGGUUCAACAACAUUCUCAUGAAUAAGCAAUGCUAUCAACAGGA
RNA transcript from Physcomitrium patens, 2163 nucleotides. It is a transcript of the gene named F-box/kelch-repeat protein SKIP25, with no coding region annotated. The record is from RefSeq and is a predicted model, not a curated record. Lineage: Eukaryota; Viridiplantae; Streptophyta; Bryopsida; Funariales; Funariaceae.